UACAGAGGGUGCGAGCGUUAAUCGGAAUUACUGGGCGUAAAGGGCGCGUAGGCGGUUAGUUAAGUUAUAUGUGAAAUCCCUGGGCUUAACCUAGGAACUGCAUGUAAUACUGGCUAGCUAGAGUGCAGUAGAGGGUAGUGGAAUUUCCGGUGUAGCGGUGAAAUGCAUAGAUAUCGGAAGGAACACCAGUGGCGAAGGCGGCUACCUGGACUGACACUGACGCUGAGGCGCGAGAGCGUGGGGAGCAAACAGG
RNAcentral lists this ribosomal RNA (253 nucleotides) under uncultured bacterium. RNAcentral's name for it is "partial 16S ribosomal RNA". It matches the Rfam family "Bacterial small subunit ribosomal RNA", at positions 524 to 776 of the family's 1533-position model. The record is from RNAcentral.